UAACUACCGUGCCAGCAGCCGCGGUAAUACGGAGGGUGCGAGCGUUAAUCGGAAUUACUGGGCGUAAAGACGCAUGCAGGCGGCCUGUUAAGUCAGAUGUGAAAGACCCGGGGCGUUAACCUCGGAAUUGCAUUUGAAACUAGGCAGGCUAGAGUCUUGUAGAGGGGGGUAGGAAUUUCAGGUGUAGCGGUGAAAUGCGUAGAGAUCUGAAGGAAUACCAGUGGCGAAGGCGGCCCCCUGGACAAAGACUGACGCUCAGAUGCGAAAGCGUGGGGAGCAAACAGGAUUAGAUACCCUGGUAG
RNAcentral lists this ribosomal RNA (302 nucleotides) under uncultured bacterium. RNAcentral describes it as "bacterial SSU rRNA". It matches the Rfam family "Bacterial small subunit ribosomal RNA", at positions 498 to 793 of the family's 1533-position model. The record is from RNAcentral.